GGGGAAUUAGCUCAGUUGGUAGUAGCGCUUGCUUAGCAUGCACGAGGCCCCGGGUUCGACUCCCGGAUUCUCCA
Molecule: non-coding RNA, 74 nt
Organism: Hyaloraphidium curvatum
Lineage: Eukaryota; Fungi; Monoblepharomycota; Hyaloraphidiomycetes; Hyaloraphidiales; Hyaloraphidiaceae
Source: the annotation of a GenBank genome assembly